GUAAAUUCUACUGGAGUGGGCAGAAAGAGGAAGGAGUAAUGGGUCUGAGCCAUCCCUUGAGGGAACCUGAUUUAACAUCUCUUGAAUACAGAGCCCUUAGGUGGGCAAAGGAUGAGAAAGUCACACAGGCAGCUCUCUGAUUUUUUGAAGUGCCACGUGAAAAUGAAACUUGCAAAAAGGAGGGCCACUGAACCCUCAACUUGUUACACCAAUACAUGCAGUGAUUUGACUCUGGACCUGGCUAAGAAUCCUUUGAGAACUUAGGAGGUACCAUGGGCCUUGAACAGACUGCCUCUCCAAC
Phascolarctos cinereus (koala) is the source of this 301-nucleotide long non-coding RNA. The record is from Ensembl. NCBI's taxonomy places the organism in Eukaryota, Metazoa, Chordata, Mammalia, Diprotodontia, Phascolarctidae.